CGGUGUUUAACUGGCGUGAUGUGGGACGUCCUACCGGUGGGCUUAGCCUCGCGAGGGGCGGCCCAACUAAUAUCCCGUCGCGGUGCUCUUUACUGAGUGUCGAGUCGGGCCGGUACGUUUACUUUGAACAAAUUAGAGUGCUUAAAGCAGGCUAUCCUCGCCUGAAUACUGCGUGCAUGGAAUAAUGGAAUAGGACCUCGGUUCUAUUUUGUUGGUUUUCGGAACCCCGAGGUAAUGAUUAAUAGGGACAGAUGGGGGCAUUCGUAUUGCGACGUUAGAGGUGAAAUUCUUGGAUCGUCGCAAGACGGACAGAAGCGAAAGCAUUUGCCAAAAAUGUUUUCAUUAAUCAAGAACGAAAGUUAGAGGCUCGAAGGCGAUCAGAUACCGCCCUAGUUCUAACCAUAAACGAUGCCAGCUAGCGAUCCGCCGAAGUUCCUCCGAUGACUCGGCGGGCAGCUUCCGGGAAACCAAAGCUUUUGGGUUCCGGGGGAAGUAUGGUUGCAAAGCUGAAACUUAAAGGAAUUGACGGAAGGGCACCACCAGGAGUGGAGCCUGCGGCUUAAUUUGACUCAACACGGGAAACCUCACCAGGCCCAGACACCGGAAGGAUUGACAGAUUGAUAGCUCUUUCUUGAUUCGGUGGGUGGUGGUGCAUGGCCGUUCUUAGUUGGUGGAGCGAUUUGUCUGGUUAAUUCCGAUAACGAACGAGACUCUAGCCUGCUAAAUAGGCGUACCUUAUGGUAUCGCGAAGGCCCCCGGCUUCGGCCGGUGGGUUUUUACUACCAACGUACAAACAAAUCUUCUUAGAGGGACAGGCGG
This 819-nucleotide ribosomal RNA is filed under the name uncultured eukaryote. Its description in RNAcentral is "SSU rRNA". It matches the Rfam family "Eukaryotic small subunit ribosomal RNA", at positions 629 to 1426 of the family's 1831-position model. The record is from RNAcentral.